Molecule: ribosomal RNA, 253 nt
Filed under: uncultured bacterium
Lineage: Bacteria
Description: partial 16S ribosomal RNA
Rfam family: Bacterial small subunit ribosomal RNA
Source: RNAcentral
UACGUAGGGUGCAAGCGUUAAUCGGAAUUACUGGGCGUAAAGCGUGCGUAGGCGGCUAUGCAAGACAGAUGUGAAAUCCCCGGGCUCAACCUGGGAACUGCAUUUGUGACUGCAUAGCUAGAGUACGGUAGAGGGGGAUGGAAUUCCGCGUGUAGCAGUGAAAUGCGUAGAUAUGCGGAGGAACACCGAUGGCGAAGGCAAUCCCCUGGACCUGUACUGACGCUCAUGCACGAAAGCGUGGGGAGCAAACAGG